AGCGAACGCUGGCGGCAGGCUUAACACAUGCAAGUCGAGCGCCCCGCAAGGGGAGCGGCAGACGGGUGAGUAACACGUGGGAACGUGCCUUUUGGUUCGGAACAACCCAGGGAAACUUGGGCUAAUACCGGAUAAGCCCUUACGGGGAAAGAUUUAUCGCCAAAAGAUCGGCCCGCGUCUGAUUAGCUAGUUGGUGGGGUAAUGGCCCACCAAGGCUACGAUCAGUAGCUGGUCUGAGAGGAUGAUCAGCCACAUUGGGACUGAGACACGGCCCAAACUCCUACGGGAGGCAGCAGUGGGGAAUAUUGGACAAUGGGGGCAACCCUGAUCCAGCCAUGCCGCGUGAGUGAUGAAGGCCUUAGGGUUGUAAAGCUCUUUUAGCAGGGAAGAUAAUGACGGUACCUGCAGAAAAAGCCCCGGCUAACUUCGUGCCAGCCGCCGCCGUAA
RNAcentral lists this ribosomal RNA (447 nucleotides) under uncultured bacterium. RNAcentral's name for it is "partial 16S ribosomal RNA". It matches the Rfam family "Bacterial small subunit ribosomal RNA", at positions 29 to 523 of the family's 1533-position model. The record is from RNAcentral.